AUGAGAAUCACCUGGGGAUCUUGUUAAAAAUGCAGAUUCUCAUUCAGCAGGACUAGGGUGGAGGCAGAAAAUUUACAUUUCUCACAAGUUCCCAGCAGAUGCUGAC
This 106-nucleotide microRNA precursor is filed under the name Marmota monax (woodchuck). Lineage: Eukaryota; Metazoa; Chordata; Mammalia; Rodentia; Sciuridae. The record is from RNAcentral.